This 5772-nucleotide long non-coding RNA is filed under the name Brassica rapa (field mustard). Its description in RNAcentral is "long non-coding RNA (BRAP_LNC001386)". Lineage: Eukaryota; Viridiplantae; Streptophyta; Magnoliopsida; Brassicales; Brassicaceae. The record is from RNAcentral.
CUCCUUAAAACUCUUCGGGAACACCUUCUGAUUCUAUUUCUUCAAUCCCGUCUCCCAUUUCAGGAAAAUACCUAAUAAAAUUCUGGAAUCUGUUUUUGUAGCCUGAGACAUAGCAAGUACAAUCAUAGGAUUAACAAACCCGUGUUUAGUGUACACCUUUUUGAUUCUGUCAAUGACAAAUGACAGGAAUCCCAAAAUCAAAACUAUCUUACACAAACUAAAGCUUUUUUAAAAAAGUUUGAUCAUUAUGAGUUUUAAAGUGAUACGUUACAGCAGGUGUAUUUCCGUAAGCGUGGGAAACAGUUCAGUGCCGUGGGGCUCAAGAGUGAAGAAGAUUUGUUGGAAGAAGAAAAGGAGAGUAAAGCUUCGGAAGGGAAGAGAGGGUUUGAAGAGUCAUCGGAAGAAGAGCAGUCGAGCAAAGCCUAGGAGGGACGGAGAGGCUUUGUGAGUCACGCUUCUUUAGUGAUACUUAUCUAUAAAUAACAAGAAUAAGAGUCAUGGGUUUUUCAUGUUGAGUAUGACGUAAGAAGUGACGUAUGUGUCCUUCAGGUGAUCGUAUGUGAUCAUCGUCGUCGUUAUCUUCUUACGUGUAUUUCAUCUUGUACUUGGAUUGGGGAAAGUAAUCGAAAGGUAUUAUUCAGUAAACGUUGAGUGAUCCAAAGAGUGGUGUGAGUACAAGGUUACGAUCUAUAAACUUAACAAAUUGGUGCGUUUGUGACUCGAUCGAAAGCUCGCUGUGUCAUCCAUGGCGGAUUCCAGUCCUUUCACAGAUGCGUACAACGUUCCGAUGGGCGAUCAAGAGCUUGCGUUCAUCCGUACGGAGUGGGAACGUUUGGCGAAGAACGCCGAGGAGACGUUGACUCGUUUUGGUGCGAUCGAUAAGCGUCUUGCGACGUCCGAUGCCCGUUUUGACGCGAUGGAUCGUCGUUUCGAUCAACUUACGAUGAUCCUCACGCGUAUGGAGAAUAACCAGCUCACCGAUAAGGCGCAAGGCAAAGCGGUGGCGUCGCCUAGUGAUUCUCCGGGCCCGGCGAUGUUUUCGUCUUCUCGAUCGGCGCCGGAGUUACACCCAUCGGGGUUCGGUGUUCCGCCGUCGGUAUUUGAGACUCGUGAGGGCUUGCUGAAGAAGCUCGAGAUGCCUGUGUUUUCUGGGGAAAAUCCUUUUGGUUGGAUUGCUCAGGUGGAGCGCUAUUUUCGGAUUGGGCAGUUUCAUGGGUUGGAGAGGUUACAAAUGGUUUCGUUGAGCCUUGCAGGUCCUGUGUUGAACUGGUUUAACGGGGAGAUGGAGCAUGAUCCGUUUACUGAUUGGCAUCAGUUUAAGCGGAGGUUGGUUUCUCGUUUCCGUCAGCGGAUUGAGGAUGAACCGGGCAAACGCUUGUUCUCUAUUCGUCAGACGGGCACGAUUGCUGAGUAUGUGAAUGAGUUUGAGGAGCUUCGUUCGAUUGUUACUGGAGUCGAUGAGCAGAACCUGGUUCAUGUCUUCUUCAAUGGCUUGAAACCGGAAAUGCAAGAAGUUAUUAAGAUGAAGGAACCUAAGGGCCUUACCGAGCAUAUUGCGGCUGUGAUUGGUAUGGAAGGGAGUGCUUUCUGCACAUCAGUUAGCAUGGCAGUUCAGAGUAAAGGAGGAUCAUCUCGUGGGUCUACAAAUCAGGCUGCUCAGGGGUUCAGUUCUGCGUCUCAGUCUGGUUUUAAGGGUGGUCAUUCUGCUGGUCAGACUACUGGUGGUUCUUUCCGGCCUCGUCUAAAGUAUACAUCGUCUGAACUGGAUGCUAUGCGCCGUGAUAACAUCUGUUUCAAGUGUCGGGGUCCUUAUUCGAAGACUCAUGUCUGUCCGAAGAAAGAACUACACGUCUUAACGGUGAUCAAUGGCUAUGAGGUAGAAAUAUUGGAGGAAGGCACGUUGUGCAGGGAACAAGAGUGGGGGUUAGGUGCUGAUACAGAACGCAUGGAGCUUUCUUUGAAUGCUUUUCUCGGUAUCGACACUCCUACUACAACAAAGUUGAUGGGCGUCAUGGGUAAUACGAGCGUUGUGGUGCUGAUAGAUAGUGGAGCCACCCACAACUUUGUGGCUCCUAGAGUGGUUCAAGCAGCGAAGUUAUCUGUGUCCAAUGAUCGUCGCUUCCAGGUGCUCUUAGGCACAGGGGUGACAGUGGAGUCUAUGGGGGUUUGUCAGGCGGUUACUUUCUCACUUCAGGACAUUUACUUCACCAGUGAUUUUGUGUCUUUGGAGUUGGGUAAGGUGGAUGUUGUGUUGGGAAUUCAAUGGUUGAGGACUUUGGGGAAGUGUGAGGUCGAUUGGGAGCUGCAAGAGUGGUCUUUUAAACAUCAGGGCAAGCUGGUAACCUUGCGUGGAGACUCUUCUUUACACUGCGCGACAGUUACGCAUCAGGCUCUCAUGGUUUCUGAAUUUGAGGAUGUUUUGGACUUGGGAACUGCCGAAGCGACAGAUACAGUUACUGCUCCGGAGUUUCAACGUGUACUGGCUGAUUUUGCAGAUGUGUUUGAGGUUCCAGUGGGUUUACCGCCUAUCAGAAACCGCGAGCACGCCAUCCAUUUACAACCUGGGGUGUCAGCGAUAUCAGUUCGACCGUACCGUUACCCGCACGCAAGCAAAGAAGCAAUGGAAACCAUGGUGACUGAGAUGCUUGACAGUGGUAUCAUACGGCCAAGCAAAAGCCCUUUCUCAAGCCCGGUGCUGUUGGUUCGCAAGAAGGAUAAGACGUGGCGUUUCUGUGUUGAUUAUCGGGCUGUGAACAGAGCUACAAUUCCGGAUAAGUACCCUAUUCCGAUGAUAGAUCAACUCUUGGAUGAACUCCACGGGGCUUGCGUGUUUUCCAAGAUUGAUUUGCGUUCUGGGUACCAUCAGAUCCGGAUGCGUGAGGAAGACGUUCCUAAGACUGCUUUCCGGACUCAUGAAGGCCAUUACGAAUUUCUAGUUAUGCCUUUUGGCUUGACUAACGCUCCGGCAACGUUUCAGUCCUUGAUGAAUGAGAUAUUUCGUCCUCAUUUACGGAAGUUCGUCCUGGUCUUCUUUGACGACAUCUUGGUCUACAGCUCGUCACUGGAACAGCAUCAAGAACAUUUGGCUGCCGUACUUCUUCUGUUACGCCAACAUUCCUUGUAUGCGAACAAGAAGAAAUGCUCAUUUGGUCAGCGUCAAAUUGAUUACCUCGGUCACAUCAUUUCUGAACAAGGGGUUUCUACUGACCCGUCUAAAACGGCAGCUAUGCGACAGUGGCCGACUCCACGGGUUAUUAAGGAAUUGCGGGGUUUCCUCGGGUUAACGGGCUACUAUCGCAGCUAUGUUAAGAACUAUGGCAUCAUCGCUCGGCCAUUGACGUCGCUUCUACGGAAGGACCAGUUCAGUUGGUCACCUGAAGCCCAACGCGCGUUUGAUGCCUUGAAGCAUGCGAUGUCCACAACACCAGUCCUCGCCUUACCGGAUUUCUCUCAAGUUUUCAUUGUGGAAACAGAUGCCUCUGGUUUUGGCUUAGGAGCUGUGCUUAUGCAGAACCAACGUCCUAUUGCUUAUUUCAGCCACAGCCUGACACCUCGGGAACAACUGAAACCCAUUUACGAACGCGAGCUCAUGGCCAUCGUGUUUGCGGUUCUUAAAUGGAAACACUACCUCACCGGUAGGCGUUUUGUGGUCCAUACUGAUCAACGCAGCCUGAAAUUUUUACUUGAACAGCGUGAGAUCUCGAUGGAAUACCAGCGCUGGUUGACCCGUUUGAUGGGAUUCCAGUUUGAUAUUAUCUACAAGCCUGGUAUCGAAAAUAAAGCAGCCGACGGUCUUUCGCGACAGAUGCAGGAUUCUGUUCCGGAGGCCAGCUCUACAUUGUUCGCACUUAUGAUUCCGUCUGUUGUGCAACUGCAAGACAUCUAUGCAGAGAUUGAGCAGGACGCACACAUUCAGGGCAUAUUGCAACAAUUGCGAGCCGGAGACCCUGUGAAGCAAGGGUACUCUGAGGUUGAUCACAAGUUAUGGUUCAAAGGGAGCCUGGUUAUUCCGGCAACCUCUGUUUUCAUUCCGUUGAUACUUCGGGAGAACCAUGACAGUUUGAUGGGAGGUCACUCUGGCGUUUUUAAAACCCUCAAGCGCAUUCAGCGUACAUUUUAUUGGUCGGGAAUGCGUUUGCAGAUUCAGCAGUACGUUGCGAGUUGUGGCAUUUGUCAGACGCACAAAACGUCAACAUUGUCACCUGCGGGUCUACUCCAGCCGCUUCCCAUCCCUUCUAAAGUGUGGCAAGACAUUAGUAUGGAUUUUAUUGAUGGACUGCCGUCCUCACGGGGAGUUAGCGUGAUCUUUGUGGUGGUUGACCGUCUCAGUAAGUACGCUCAUUUUUUUGGCUUGAAGCAUCCUUACACGGCAGUUGAUGUGGCCGCGAAAUUCACGUCUGAGGUGGUUAAGCUACACGGGUUUCCUGACUCCAUUGUCUCCGACCGUGAUAAGGUUUUCUUAAGUUCCUUCUGGAAAGAAUGUUUUAAGCUUGCGGGCACUUCCCUGAAGUACAGUACCGCCUUCCAUCCCCAAACCGACGGCCAAACAGAGGUGCUCAACCGCUGUCUCGAAACUUACUUACGUUGUUUUGCGUCCACACACCCUAAGACUUGGUUUCAGUACUUGAGUUGGGCGGAAUACUGGUACAACACUUGUUUCCAUACAGCCAUUCAGACUACUCCAUUUGAGGUAGUGUAUGGACGUGCCCCUCCUACCUUGGUUCGUUUUGAAGUUGGAUCUACACGUAACUUUGAACUUGAGCAGAGCUUGAAGGAACGUGACUUGAUGCUGGAUCAGUUGAAGACGUUCUUGCUCAAGGCCCAGUCGUCGAUGAAGAAGUCCGCUGAUCAGCAUCGCCGUGAUCUUGCCUUUGAGGUUGGUGAUUUGGUCUUCCUUAAGCUGCGGCCGUAUCGUCAGUCUUCUGUGGCUAAGCGGCUGUGUCAGAAACUGGCCGCAAAAUUCUAUGGUCCAUUUGAAGUGCUUGAGCGGAUUGGGAAGGUGGCUUAUCGCCUGAAGCUACCGGCAGAGUCUAAAAUCCACCCUGUUUUCCAUAUCUCUCAGCUCAAGGCCGUGAUUGGUACACCUCCGCAGGUCACUCCCUUGCCGCAGUCCUUCGCGUCCACAGGAGAGUUGAUAGUUCGACCUGCAGCUGUACUCGACACACGUUACACGCCAUCUGGGUGUCUAGAGGUUUUGAUUCAGUGGACAGGUCUUCCGGAUCACGAGUCUACUUGGAAUCUGGGGUGGGAGAUUCAGCGUCAGUAUCCAGAUUUUCAGCUUGAGGACAAGCUGCGUUUCGUUGGGCGGGGUAUUGAUACGUUACAGCAGGUGUAUUUCCGUAAGCGUGGGAAACAGUUCAGUGCCGUGGGGCUCAAGAGUGAAGAAGAUUUGUUGGAAGAAGAAAAGGAGAGUAAAGCUUCGGAAGGGAAGAGAGGGUUUGAAGAGUCAUCGGAAGAAGAGCAGUCGAGCAAAGCCUAGGAGGGACGGAGAGGCUUUGUGAGUCACGCUUCUUUAGUGAUACUUAUCUAUAAAUAACAAGAAUAAGAGUCAUGGGUUUUUCAUGUUGAGUAUGACGUAAGAAGUGACGUAUGUGUCCUUCAGGUGAUCGUAUGUGAUCAUCGUCGUCGUUAUCUUCUUACGUGUAUUUCAUCUUGUACUUGGAUUGGGGAAAGUAAUCGAAAGGUAUUAUUCAGUAAACGUUGAGUGAUCCAAAGAGUGGUGUGAGUACAAGGUUACGAUCUAUAAACUUAACAUAAAGCCGGAAUUACCUC